RNAcentral lists this ribosomal RNA (255 nucleotides) under uncultured bacterium. Its description in RNAcentral is "partial 16S ribosomal RNA". It matches the Rfam family "Bacterial small subunit ribosomal RNA", at positions 524 to 776 of the family's 1533-position model. The record is from RNAcentral.
UACGAAGGGGGCUAGCGUUGCUCGGAAUCACUGGGCGUAAAGGGCGCGUAGGCGGCGUUUUUAAGUCGGGGGUGAAAGCCUGUGGCUCAACCACAGAAUGGCCUUCGAUACUGGGACGCUUGAGUAUGGUAGAGGUUGGUGGAACUGCGAGUGUAGAGGUGAAAAUUCGUAGAUAUUCGCAAGAACACCAGUGGCGAAGGCGGCUCACUGGCCCGAUACUGACGCUGAGGUGCGAAAGCGUGGGGAGCAAACAGG